UGGGGUAUAGCCAAGCGGUAAGGCAACGGACUUUGACUCCGUUAUCCGUAGGUUCGAGUCCUGCUACCCCAGCCA
RNAcentral lists this transfer RNA (75 nucleotides) under Clostridiales bacterium. RNAcentral's name for it is "tRNA-Gln". It matches the Rfam family "tRNA". Rfam says of the family: Transfer RNA (tRNA) molecules are approximately 80 nucleotides in length. Their secondary structure includes four short double-helical elements and three loops (D, anti-codon, and T loops). The record is from RNAcentral. Lineage: Bacteria; Bacillati; Bacillota; Clostridia; Eubacteriales.